Molecule: ribosomal RNA, 443 nt
Filed under: uncultured bacterium
Lineage: Bacteria
Description: partial 16S ribosomal RNA
Rfam family: Bacterial small subunit ribosomal RNA
Source: RNAcentral
CCUACGGGUGGCAGCAGUGGGGAAUAUUGCGCAAUGGGGGGAACCCUGACGCAGCAACGCCGCGUGAAGGAUGAAGGUUUUCGGAUUGUAAACUUCUUUAGUCGGGGACGAACAAGAUGACGGUACCCGAAGAAUAAGCCACGGCUAACUACGUGCCAGCAGCCGCGGUAAUACGUAGGUGGCAAGCGUUGUCCGGAAUUACUGGGUGUAAAGGGCGUGUAGGCGGGAAUGUAAGUCAGAUGUGAAAUUCCGGGGCUCAACCCCGGCGCUGCAUCUGAAACUAUGUUUCUUGAGUGCUGGAGAGGAAAGCGGAAUUCCUAGUGUAGCGGUGAAAUGCGUAGAUAUUAGGAGGAACACCAGUGGCGAAGGCGGCUUUCUGGACAGUAACUGACGCUGAGGCGCGAAAGCGUGGGGAGCAAACAGGAUUAGAUACCCCUGUAGUC